UUCUCCUUCCCUUCCUCUCCUUCAGAAAAUACUUCUAAAAGAUAAUAAUUAAUACGCCUUGGGGUCUAACACCUGGGGACCCACAGGUUGAGAACCACUGGCCUAGAGGCAAUACACCUCUAGGUAUCUGCCAAGAGAGAGGACACCAGCAUGUGAAGCACGAACCCAGUAUUUGUUAUGAUAAGAAGAGCUUUCAAAACAAUAUUUUGCUCUAUAUGUUAGGAUCUCUCUGUCCUCAAUGGCCCAUUUCUUACUCCUCUGUUAUAAUUCUGUGUCCAUUGCCUUCACAUCUGGAUACCUGACUCACUUUUAAAAGAAAAAUAUGGUGUCCAACAAAUCUGAACCUGCAAAGCAGGAGUUAACAUUUCUGGGCUUCCUCAGUAUGCCAGAACUGAGAUCAGAUCAGAUCAGAUAUGGAUGUAAGGUUAAUACUUUACUUCUGUAUCUUUAAUAAAAGGUUAAUCUUCACUCUUGGCUUCUGCCAGAAUCCUUUCAUUUAGCUAAAAUGCUUUCUUUUGCUGCUUUCAGAGUUUGGCUUCCCACUACUGAUUGCUGGAACCUUGUCAAUGUUUCCCUUAAUUUUGAUGGGCAUUUUGUUUUUGAGGGUUUUUUUUUGUUUUGUUUUGAUGGCCUGUGUUUUCUUGUAUUUGUCAAGUAAUCUGUUCGGUUAUAUUAAUAUGUUCUUUGCUAUUCCCCUUGAGUUUUCUCUGGAGAAAAAUCAUAGAGUAUACUGGGCAAGGAGUACUGUUAUGAUUGAGCCUCAUGGCUCUGCUUCUGGCAGACGUGGACGUAAGACUCCUCGAGAGUCAGAUACUCUCGAGGAGCGCGAAAGAAAGAGGCUGCGAGAUAUCUUUGCAGAACCAUCUGACGAAGAGUCUUUUGAGGGGUUUACGGAGAGAAUGGAGGAAGAGCUGGUUAGCUCAGAAAAGGAUGAGAUGGAUUGGACUCGGGUAAGGGAGGAGUUGGGUGCCACUGGCAAUGAUGGGAUGGAAGAUGAUUGGGGACCUUCAGGACUAGACCCAUGGACAAGCUGGAGGGAUGGGACGGGAUCCACAGCUGGGGAUGCUGUGGGGCGUAGUCAGAGGUGUUCCAGUUCUGAUGAGGAAAGUGAUGAGGAAACGCCCGGGUUAAGAAGAACAGCUGAUAGUGAUGAGGACUUGUAACUGGCAUAAAAUGGGGCUUGCGAGCAAUAGCAAAUUGCGUUGGGCAAGGUAAUCUGGACAAACGCUUGGGAUCUGUGUGGGACGUUUUCCUGAAGACGGGUGUGUUUCGUGUGCUGAUUACCUUUGACCUUCCGUCGUCUUCUUGACGGACGCCAUCUGCUGCUCUGGAUUUACGGACUGAACUGACUACGGGCUUGGAUUCUCCUUCUGGACUUGGAAAACUGCAAACGUCUGCUUCUGCCUAUCGACCUUCGGAAAGAACUGGGACUACUCUACUGCUUCAAUCCUCGGCUGUUGUGUUUGUAUUGGAAGUUUGCCUGCUGGGUGUAGGAGUGACUUCUAAGUUACUCAAAACAUAGUACUGGCAGCAGAGAGGCAUCUGCUGCCAAUUAGUUACAUUCUUUUGAACUCUUUGUUUCCCAGCUUCUGUUUUGUUUGUUCCCAAGCUGAAGCAAGCUGUUUUGAUUUUACCCGGAUUAAACUCCGGUUUAAUCCGGUUUAUCUUUUGAACGUUUUCCUUGCCCCUUUUUGCUUUUUGAGGCUAAUGUUGCCUGGCCCUUGUCUUUUACGGGCAUUUUGAGUUCUGUAAAUCCAAUAAACUCUGUUAUCUUUGA
Long non-coding RNA from Anolis carolinensis (green anole), 1777 nucleotides. RefSeq lists it as uncharacterized. The transcript is spliced from 2 exons. Lineage: Eukaryota; Metazoa; Chordata; Lepidosauria; Squamata; Anolidae. The record is from RefSeq and is a predicted model, not a curated record.